GGCCCGUUCGUCUAGUGGCUAGGACGCUAGGUUCUCAUCCUAGUAACAGGGGUUCGAUUCCCCUACGGGCUACUA
RNAcentral lists this transfer RNA (75 nucleotides) under Candidatus Magasanikbacteria bacterium CG_4_10_14_0_2_um_filter_37_12. Its description in RNAcentral is "tRNA-Glu". It matches the Rfam family "tRNA". From Rfam's summary of the family: Transfer RNA (tRNA) molecules are approximately 80 nucleotides in length. The record is from RNAcentral. Lineage: Bacteria; Candidatus Magasanikiibacteriota.